UAUUUUUACGCAGGGUGACCAGAUGUCCUGAUAAAAUCAGGACCGUCCCGAUAUUUAGGUAUUUGU
Molecule: long non-coding RNA, 66 nt
Organism: Gopherus evgoodei (Goodes thornscrub tortoise)
Lineage: Eukaryota; Metazoa; Chordata; Testudines; Testudinidae
Exons: 3
Source: RefSeq, a predicted model, not a curated record